ACGCCACCACCCGUGGGUGAACACACGUUCUUUACGUGGAUAAACAAUCAUUUCGUGCCUGCCAGGCGUGCGUGUGUGUAUAGAGAGAGACGUGUGAAGAAAACUCGCUUCCACUGCCAGCUACGUCUCUUGGUUAAAAUUCGCCUUUAUGCUGUAACCCCAAACCAUCAUAAUCAAGUCCCGUCGGGCUCCCUUUUAACAAACAGGGAGUCUCCCUCGUCAUUUAUUGGGGUCAGUGCUAACCCGCCCUCGGAGCGGCUCGGACGGGCCGAGCACAUCCGCGAAGCGCUGUCUGGUGGCGCCACAUCUGGGCCCGGGUGCCAGGGACAGGGUACCCACAGGACCGAGCAGGAGCCUUCCUUGGAGGCGCGCAGCUCCAUCGGGAACACGCCUUGCGACUACAAAUUCCUCUUUCUUCGGCUAACAGCUCUGGGCCAGAGGCUGGUGGAGAGGCCCCGAGCCCACGUAGACCGAGAGGACGAUGAGGAAGACCAGGAGCAGGAAGAGGCUGGCGGCCGCGGCGGCCACGGCGAAGAGCUCCAUUCGCAGCGCAGCCUCGGGCCGCGGGGACUCGCCGGCUGCCUCGCGGCGCCGCGUUGCCAUGGGAACCGCAGCUGCGCGCCCGCGGAACCGCGCGUUUGUGACCGGAGAAUCCCCCGGCUCCGCCGCUGCCCCCGCCCUCGGGGCGGAGGGACGCGCCUUCCCUCCCCCCGCCCCCGCCCCCGGCCCCAGCACCCCUGCGGGAAAACAGAAAGCAGCGGCGUGUGCGCCCUGCAGACCCUUGCUAAAGCGUUGCCGCGUGUCUGGGAGCGCGGCCGCUGGCCGGGAGCCGACCGCUCCGAGCCCACGAGCCCCGAGGUCGGGCGCGCAGCCCCGGGUGGAGGCCGCUGCGCCGGCCCGCGCAGCCCCCCUUCCCCGCCGCUCCGGGCCGGGGGCGCGAUCCCGGGCGCUGAGCGCUCCUCUCGCGGGUCCAGGAUUUCGCCGACGCCCCCGCACCCUGCAGGGACCCUCGGACCGAGAAAGUUAGAGGCCCGACGUGCGCGUUUUUGCGGAACCUCCCCGGAGCGAGGGCCACAUUUAAUCCCUCGCCCCUGCCCUACAGGCUUUCAAAGACGAGGGAGGCAGCAUAAAAGAAAUCCUGCCCGAGUCCUAAUUAUUGGAACACUUCCUAACACGCCGUCUGUCCCAGGAACUGGAAACAUAUUGCAGGAAGGCAAUGUUUGGGUAAUUAAUAAAGAGCAAAUAACGGGGCUUCCGAAACGCUCGCCGCCCUGGCCCCGGCGGGCGGCCCUGCGAGGUGCUGGGCGCCGCUCGGCCGCCCUCAGGACGCACGGACAGAGGUUCCCGCAGGACGCGGCCGCAUCCCCGCCAGACUUUUCCCCGCUCACGUUAUUAGCAGAAACGCAGAAGGCGAGCGACUCCCAUUUUUACCCACCAAACUUUCUUCUCCCGGGUCGCCGGUGA
This 1464-nucleotide long non-coding RNA is filed under the name Felis catus (domestic cat). RNAcentral describes it as "lncRNA (ENSFCAG00000051537.1)". Lineage: Eukaryota; Metazoa; Chordata; Mammalia; Carnivora; Felidae. The record is from RNAcentral.